Molecule: long non-coding RNA, 1678 nt
Organism: Betta splendens (Siamese fighting fish)
Lineage: Eukaryota; Metazoa; Chordata; Actinopteri; Anabantiformes; Osphronemidae
Exons: 2
Source: RefSeq, a predicted model, not a curated record
CUUUAGGCUUAAACAGCAUGAAGAUCUUGUAUCUUAAAUUCUUAAAUUACAAUAAACUAAUAUUAAGUAAGUAAGUAAGAGUCUCCUGACGGAUGAUCAUGCUCUGCGUAAUGUGUAGAAUGAGUAAACUGCUUUAAUAAUUUACGAAAUACUUAAUAUGACUAUUAAGACUCAAUAUAAUCGGUAUAACAUGAUCAUUAUGUGAUCUUAAUAAAAGGAUGAAUGACAAAACCUUCUCCAGUCGCCUCGUCCCUUUUAAUAUACAGUAAUUAGCCCCGAACUGUCGGGGGUCUGGCAGUAUGUGUAACCCGUUACGUAGUUGGGAGGGACUGAACGGAUCCCACUGAAAAAACUAGUAUAAAUACAGGUGGAGUUGAAGCGCUAGUAUCCACAGUCUAGGACUCUUCAUGGACUUGGAAACGUCUGCAUGAAUCAAGGUAGGCUCUGAAAGAGUGAGGCUUUUUUUAUUUCUCUGUUUUUUCGCGAGAAUGUGUAUUAACAUAUUUCACGUUUCAUUCACGCCAGUUGCAGCAUCUCGCCCCGAACAAGUGGCUGGUUUGUCGAGAGCUUAACGAAUCCGUAAGUAUUGCUUUUUUCUUUUUUAUAUUUAUUAUUCUAUUAUUACUAUUAUUCUAUUAUUAUUAUUCUACUCUCUGAAAUACCGUUAUCAUCACUCGCCAGAGCAAUAUCUGAUUUGACAUCAACAGCAACAGCAGCAAACGCAACGCGGGAACAGCAUCACUCCGAACAGAUUGACUGUUAAAGCCGUUGGUGAGUUUUAAAUAAUAGAGGCUAAUUAACAUUUACGUCUGUGAUGCAAUAAAAAUAAGUAUAAAUAUUUUUUUUCUUCUUUAAAAAAAGAAGCCAAAAUUCAUCCCAAGCCUUUGAUCGGCCAAUUCUUGAACAGUGAGUAUAAUUAAUAUUAAGUAAGAAUAAUUUUCCUAUUUCCCCUAAUAAUAAUCUUGUCCGUCUGCAGUGGCGGAUUCCAAACUCUUGAAGUGCACUGAGGAGCCUGGACCGACUCAGGAAAAAGUUUUUUCAGCCAACGAGAGCCGUGCCGACGCGCAUGCGCAACAGCUCAGCCCGGCUCAUUAACAGCAAGAGGCGCGAGUGAUCCGGGAGUUGGAGCAGAACCCCGAUCAUCAGCGGCGCGCGGGGCGAGCGACACCGGAGAACGGGGGUACGGAGCAGCGAGAGGUGCUGCCGGAUCCAGAGGAGGAGGACUGGGGCUCCGAGGGCCGUCCGGGGGUUCGGGUCGGUGCGGAGCAGCGAGACGUGCUGUCCGAUCCAGAGGAGGAGGACUGGGGCUCCGAGCGCCGCCCGAGGGUUCGGGUCGAGUUAUCCCCUUUCUCUGAUUCCGACCGUCCGAGCCGAAGAAGAAGAAGAAGGGACCGCUCAGAGGAGGCUCGCGACCAAGAAUACGAGGACUUCUUCGGCCCAGAGCAGAUGCGACGUCUCGAGCAAGUAGCCGAACGAGUCGUCACUCGGAUUUUUAUCGACGCAAGGUUUAAUUCGUUGGAGAGUUUCCGACGUACGAUGCGGUCCACUCCUUGGUCUACACUGGUUUCUAAGAUGAAAAGACGUUACUAUGAUUAUUAAAUAGCAGGGUGGCUAAUGACCGCGAGAGUGAGAUAACUUGUUGUGAUGCGCUAUAUAAAUAAAGUUGAAUUCAAUUGAA